This 207-nucleotide non-coding RNA is filed under the name Thermobrachium celere. RNAcentral's name for it is "T-box sequence". It matches the Rfam family "T-box leader". From Rfam's summary of the family: Uncharged tRNA acts as the effector for transcription antitermination of genes in the T-box leader family. T-boxes are found upstream of many aminoacyl-tRNA synthetase genes and some amino acid biosynthetic genes usually in Gram-positive bacteria. Lineage: Bacteria; Bacillati; Bacillota; Clostridia; Eubacteriales; Clostridiaceae. The record is from RNAcentral.
UAAAAGGCAAUGAAGGGAAGAAUAAGGAAUUAAUCCAUUUCAGAGAGUAGCUGCCUUAGGCUGUGAGCAGCUAUAUGGACACUCCUUUAGUGCGUCCUAGAGCCUUUCUACCGAAUUUUAGUAGGUAGGAACGGUGAUUCCGUUAUAAUUUUGAGUGAGGCUUUGCCUAAUUAGAGUGGAACCACGGAGUGCCCCUUCGUCUCUAAG